RNAcentral lists this ribosomal RNA (452 nucleotides) under uncultured bacterium. Its description in RNAcentral is "bacterial SSU rRNA". It matches the Rfam family "Bacterial small subunit ribosomal RNA", at positions 15 to 507 of the family's 1533-position model. The record is from RNAcentral.
GAUCAUGGCUACAGAACGAACGCUGGCGGCAGGCCUCAAACAUGCAAGUCUAGCGGGCAUAGCAAUAUGUCAGCGGCGGACGGGUGCGUAACACGUGGGAAUGUACCUAUUGGUUCGGAACAACGCAGGGAAACUUGCGCUAAUACCGAAUGUGCCCUUCGGGGGAAAGAUUUAUCGCCAAUGGAUCAGCCCGCGUUCGAUUAGCUAGUUGGUGAGGUAAUGGCUCACCAAGGCGACGAUCGAUAGCUGUUCUGAGAGGAAGAUCAGCCACACUGGGACUGAGACACGGCCCAGACUCCUACGGGAGGCAGCAAUUAGGAAUCUUGCGCAAUGGGGGAAACCCUGACGCAGCGACGCCGCGUGAGCGAUGAAGUCUCUAGGGAUGUAAAGCUCUGUCCUGCGGGGAAGAAAAAAUGACGGUACCCGCAGAGAAAGCCCCGGCUAACUACGUG